GGCAGCCGCCUUUAAGGGGGAGCUUGUCGGUGGAGGGCGCGACAUCGAGAGCCACACGGCCGGUACUCGAGCUCGAAAGACGGCCACUUGAAACAUCACCCCCGCGGUGUUCUACACCCGCGAGUUCGGAUGCGUACUCUAAGCAUUUGCUUCAUUGUCAUCCGAUUGAACAAUGUGACACCAGAAGGAGGCAGCUGCACUCCCAAUGGUCCACAAUCUCCCCUCACUCGAGUAGAAUGUACUUAAUGAACGUGCCCACUGUCGCGGCGCCUCACACCGAGUGGAGAGCAUGCGGACACCCCGGCGGCUUUAGCAUUCCCGUCUGCCUCAAUGACUCGGACACGGAGUUGUCCAACGGGGGUUCUCCUAUCGCAAACAAGGUCCAGAUGAUCAUUGAGAGCCUGAGGAGCAGUCAGUCCUCACUCGAUAUGAACGACCAGGUGGAGGGCAAUGUGCUUCAGGGACAGGACGGGCCUCCCCAGGCCUGUAAGGUGGCGGUGGGCUCCCUCGUGGAAGCCAAGUCCAAAACAAAAAACUGUUCAACCGAUGUCACUUUCAAGGACGGUGACCAGAGCAGCGAUAGCGACGACUCCGUGGACAAAGGAAUCGAGGAGGCUAUCCUUGAAUACCUGAAGGAAAAGGAUGGCCACAAACGCAAGGCCGAACCUUUUGUCCCAUCGUCCAGGCAAACCGUUCCUGAAAUGAAGUCGGAAGGCCAGGCCUUUUCCUUAAUGAGAAGCCAGCUUUCCAAAAGUGUCAUCCAAGCCACACAGACAACCGCGCCCCUGAAGAAGUACAUUAAACACAAGGCCUCGCUUCACGAGGCCGCCGUCGGGAACUCUGAGUUGGCUCGCGUCAUGAUGCGAGAUCAGAUGAGCAACAAGUCAAACAGUGCGGUACGGGACGUCAAAGCGAAAGACGCUUCCGACAACUCCAGCGACGACGGCAUCGAGGAGGCCAUCCAGAGGUACCAGCUGGAGAGGACGGAGCAGCAGACCAGGGGGGACGCUUUCAAACCGCUCGCCUCCGUGGAAGAAUCCGACUCCUCCAGCGACGACGGAAUCGAGGAGGCCAUUCGCAGCUAUCAGCUCGAACAACUCAAAUCUCAAGACAAUGCCUCCGGAAGCGCAGGCCUCGCCAAACUCAAAAGGAAAAAUAAACCAGCGGAGAAGACGGCAAAUUGGGCGCAGCCGCCGUUUCCCAUUCUCUUGGAGGACUCGCUCAAUGUCAGCCAGAGAAGUGAAGGUAACGGUUUUCAUCUGUUGAGAACCGAAAGCUUUACGGAGCAGCCGGUUCCGCUCCUUCCCAAAGCCAAUACCACCGCCGAGCUGAUGUGCGCCGAAGCCAUACUGGACAUCUCCAAAACGGUCAUGCCGGGAGCCUUCGCGUCCCAUCUGGACAUGGGUCCAAGUGGCAGCGCCCUCGCCGUCGCCGCGCCGCUAUCCACAACUCCGAAGCAGGACAGCGACGGAAGCUCGGUCGACAGCGAAGAUGGGAUCGAGCAAGAGAUUAUGAAAUUUCUCGAACAGAAGGCGCAAAUGCUCCAACGUCCACCCGAAGAACCGUCGACGACGCAAGAAGUCACACAAAAGAAAUCCCAGAGGUUGUCCUUAACCAAGAAGCGCAAAUCCAAAGAGGACAAAAGCUCCAGCGCGUCCUCCGUAGGUUCAUCUACCAAUCCUCUGAAGGCACAAAGCCCACCGGAGGCCUUGGAGAGAUCGACGGAGAAAAGCGGGGACAAGAGCAGCUCGCUCGACAGCGACGAGGAUCUGGACACGGCCAUCAAAGCCCUUCUCAAGACCAAGAAGAAGUCCAAGAAGAUGAGCAGGUCGGAACGCGAUUCCAGAAAACGCCCGACGGAAAAAGCCGAACAAUCGCGAGCCGCCGCCAAAAAGGCAAAAGUCGAUCAUUUAGCCAAGCUUACCGUUUUGAAAAAGGGCCACAAAAGGAAAAGUGAUUCGCCAAAGAGGACCGCUUUGCCAAAUGCGUCGCCAACCAUUAAGCGACAGAUGAGCCGCGGCGAGAACGACGUCCGAGGUCAUCCGCCCACAACUGCUCUGCGGAUAAAAGAAGAUAGCAGCUCGGUAGAUAGCGACGACAGCAUCGAGCAGGAAAUUCGGAAGUUCCUCGCAGAGAAGGCCGAGAAGGUCUCAGAAAGAACAAACGACGACGCGGAGGCGCCCAGGAACGGCACCGCGGAUGGCGCCCCGCUGCCACGUGACCUCGAACGGGAUGAUCAGCUGGCUGAAAUUCCGACACAAAGCGUCGAUACGUCGGCUCCGCCCCAAGACAAAUCCGCGCCCUCCGCUCCAGACGGCUCGGCGGUCCUUGCGGUCGCCCCGCAGUGGUCCUGCAACCCCAGAACUUCGCCGUGGUCGGGCCGAGCUGAGCAAAAACCAGUGACACCCGCGAGGGUCGACGACGGACCAACCGAAAAGGUCUCGGCUCUGGAUCAGUCCAUCAAGUGGCGCCAGAGUUUCGGACUCCCCAUCGUCGACCCCAAAAAUUUCAACCGAACGUCAUUUCACAUUAGCACGUCCGCGACGAGAGCCAGUCCGUCACCGGCGUCUCUAGGGAAGCCCAGCGAACUCAAGCCCCCAACGCCGGCCUCUCUCUGGUCCUCAGCCAAACGUUCGUGGUCCACAGACAGAACCCCGAGGGCCCCCGUGACGAGCGGCGCCUCAAAGCCCUUCGUCGCCGACGGUUCGUCCGGGCAACGUCCGGGCGCGGCCAGUACGGUGCACGUGCCGCGCGACAAGAGCGUGUUUGUCGAACUGGAGUCGGGUCGGACCAACCACGUCCAGGUGCAGAGCAGCCAGAGCGACGAGGGAGAGGCCGGGGCCGACCAGAGCAGAGCCCUUCCACUCGAGGGAGCUGAUGAGAAGUUUAUAGAUGAGUCAGAAGGUGAGACUCCAGAGAAGAAGCAGAGCACUUUGUCCUUGUCGUACGCCCUGGACCCCGGCAUCGUCAUUCGGCCGUGCAUCGCGCUUUGCUCGGAAGAACGCAGUAGCAUGUGCCGCAAUAGCUACAAGAACGAGGUAUCCUUUUUCUAUCCUUCUUUUGUGACAUUGCAACAAAAUGUCCGCCACAAAUCUCAAGAAAAAGCAAAAACAACUUGUGUUCUUUUCUAAAUUCUUUGUACCUGAUGAAGUCUUUAUGUUGAAAACUCACCUAUUUGCAGACAUGCAAGAUGCCGAACGUCAAAAGAAGGUUGCAGUUUUUUCCGGUACGCAGGUAGAUGGACGAGAAAGCGGAACGUGUUGUAUCUGUGAAACAUGUUGAAAGAAUGGUUGGUUUCAUUUCUAGAUGAAUGUCACUGUUGCACAUUUGUUGACUGGUGGGGGACAAAAGUGAAUUUUACCUCCCUGUUGCUGCCAUUUGUUUGGCCGUUGUUGUGUGUUGCCUUUGAAUUGUUUACAUUUGGUGCUGUUAUAUGAUGUGGUCAAUGCUUGUGUCUUGACAUUUUUCAGACUAAUGUAUACCUUGUUGCACGUUAUUGUAUUAUUAGAAUAUUAAACAUUUGUCUGAUA
This is an RNA transcript of Syngnathus typhle (broad-nosed pipefish), 3530 nucleotides long. It is a transcript of the gene named protein phosphatase 1, regulatory subunit 26, with no coding region annotated. The record is from RefSeq and is a predicted model, not a curated record. NCBI's taxonomy places the organism in Eukaryota, Metazoa, Chordata, Actinopteri, Syngnathiformes, Syngnathidae. The transcript is spliced from 4 exons.